RNAcentral lists this long non-coding RNA (220 nucleotides) under Dunaliella salina. RNAcentral describes it as "long non-coding RNA (DSAL_LNC000301)". Lineage: Eukaryota; Viridiplantae; Chlorophyta; Chlorophyceae; Chlamydomonadales; Dunaliellaceae. The record is from RNAcentral.
CUCCACCCCUGAUGCGGCACCCAUGCGCACACGCAGCCCACGCAACACCAGCAGCCGGCCGGGCCCAGGCGUGUGUGUGCGUGGCAUGGUUGCCAGGAAAUGCUGGCCGACUGUGAGGUCUGUGUAAAUGAAAUGUGUGUGUGUGUGUGUGUGUGUGUGUGUGUGUGUGUGUGUGUGUGUGUGUGUGUGUGUGUGUGUGUGUGUGUGUGUGUGUGUGAAU